CGUAGGUGACAAGCGUUAUCCGGAAUUACUGGGCGUAAAGCGCACGCAGGCGGCGCGGUAAGUCUGAUGUGAAAUCUCCCGGCUUAACUGGGAGGGGUCAUUGGAAACUGCCGAGCUUGAGGCGGUGAGAGGGGGUGUAGAAUUCCCGGUGUAGUGGUGGAAUGCGUAGAUAUCGGGAGGAAUACCAGUGGCGAAAGCGACACCCUGGCACUAGCCUGACGCUCAUGUGCGAAGGCGUGGGGAGCGAACGGGAUUAGAUACCCCGGUAGUCCACGCGGUAAACGAUGAAUACUAGGUGUGGGUGGAGUGAAAUCCAUCUGUGCCGAAGCAAACGCGAUAAGUAUUCCGCCUGGGGAGUACGGCCGCAAGGCUA
This 373-nucleotide ribosomal RNA is filed under the name uncultured organism. Its description in RNAcentral is "bacterial SSU rRNA". It matches the Rfam family "Bacterial small subunit ribosomal RNA", at positions 526 to 896 of the family's 1533-position model. The record is from RNAcentral.